Long non-coding RNA from Macaca fascicularis (crab-eating macaque), 2121 nucleotides. The record is from Ensembl. NCBI's taxonomy places the organism in Eukaryota, Metazoa, Chordata, Mammalia, Primates, Cercopithecidae.
UUUUUUUUUUUUUUUUUGAGACGGAGUCUCGCUCUGUCACCCAGGCUGGAGUGCAGUGGCCGGACCUCAGCUCACUGCAAGCUCCGCCUCCCGGGUUCACGCCAUUCUCCUGCCUCAGCCUCCCGAGUAGCUGGGACUACAGGCGCCUGCCACCUCGCCCGGCUAAGUUUUUGUAUUCUUAGUAGAGACGGGGUUUCACUGUGUUACCCAGGAUGGUCUCGAUCUCCUGACCUCGUGAUCCGCCCAUCUCGGCCUCCCAAAGUGCUGGGAUUACAGGCUUGAGCCACCGCGCCCGGCCAGGAUGUUGCCACUUUUAUUGCAAUAAUUUUUUUCUUGUUUUGUUUAGUUUUUGUUUGUUUGGUUUGUUGGUUGGUUUUUUAUUUUGUUUUGUUUUGUUUUGAGACAGAGUCUCCCUGUGUCACCCAGGCUGGUAUGCAGUCGUGCAAUCUCGGCUCACUGCAACCUCUGCCUCCUGGGUUCAAGUGAUUCUCAUGCCUCAGCCUUCCGAGUCGCUGGGAUGACAGGCAUGCACCAGCAUACCCAGCUAAUUUUUGUAUUUUAAUAGAGACAGAGUUUCACCAUGCUGGCCAGGCUGGUUUUGAACUCCUGGCCUCAAGAGAUCUGCCAGCCUCAGCCUCCCAAAGUGCUGGGAUUACAGGCAUAAGCCACUGCACCCCACCAGCAUUAAUUUUUUUAUAGUUAACUUGUAUUGUUUUUCCAUUAAAAUAUUUUCAAAGAGUGCAGGGGUAAGUUUAAAAAUAAGUAACUUUCACUGUAGCCUACAGUUGACCCCAGUAGAGAUGUUGGUGGCUGAAACUAGCACCACCCAGUGCCAGCAAGGAGUAAUUGCAGGUUCCAGUCUCAAAUGGUCAUGUGCUUGCAUCAGAACUGAGCCUGCAGAGCUCAAGUGACAGUGGAAUGGCAACAGGCGCCAUUCAGGAGGACUGCCAGAGAUUCAUGGCCAAAUCUAUUCUGCCAAGUCAGGAGGUCUGUUCUGAUUGGACCAAGCUCCUGCCACAUUGGGUGUUAAAAACUUUUAAUAUCUCCCCUGGGUGACAGAACUGUCACUUUGGAGUUUCUAUCAAAGAAAUGCCAAGAUGGUGUUUACCCUCACCUCCCUAUCAAGAACCUGAGUUACAAUCCAGCCCUUCAAAUGACCCACAGCUCAUGCCAAGAAGGAAAAAUACCCAGCAGGGUGGGGGGUGGUAUGUGAAUGCCCUCCUCUGUGAGUCCUAGUGUGCACAGAAACACAUGCACACAGGGUUCACAUGUGCCAUACAGCAUGAGGAGGAGACAUGGCUGGGCUCCAGCCUCAGAAACCCUAGCAGGUCCCUGGGUUAGUCACAAGUGGGGAAAAAGGAUAUGUUUUCCUAAAAGUGAGCCCAGGAUGAGCCCUUUGGUCUCAAAGAAGGUAACAUUCAGUAGGAGGAGGAGCCCCAGGCUUAGGUCCUGGUCUCCAAAGAAAAUGACAAACAGGCCAGCAGCCUCAGAGUCACCAAUCCCAAGGGAGUGCAGAACGGGGAGGACCCCAUGCUCUAUAUCUAUGGGAACACUAGAGACAGACUCCACCCUUGGAGUGUUUGUGCCCAGAUUAGGUAGAGGAGAGUGCCUGGCCUGCCUCCACCCGCAAAUAGCAGGUCCAGGUCAUCUGGGGAGUCCUGGGUUGGCCUGGCAGAUUAAUAAAAAUAAUGACCACUACAUUGUAGUCACUGUGUCCUGUACUGAGCAACUGACAUAUUCAGUAUCUCAUUUAAUCCUCAUAAGAAUACCACCAGGUUGACCGUACCCAGCUCUUCGCACAGUUGCCAGGGGGCCUGGACCCAAGUCCUGAAGGAAGCAUUUUCCUGCUCUCUCAUUCCCAUAGCCCGGUUCAUCCUCCUCAGCCCCCAGUUCUGGACAGUGGAAAAUACAGGCCUCAUUCAGGAAGCUCAGGAGUCCAAACCCACAGGUCGCUCUACUCUGAGCCUGUCUGCCGGUCCAUAAAAGACCUUUCCAUCACUUGCUUUGCAGGGUUGUUGUGGAGAUUAUGAGAAAUAACCCGUAAGGCUGGCACACAGUAGGUGCUCAUUAAAUGUUCGCUCCCUCUGCACUCUGCACAUGGCUGCUAGACCAAAUCUUCCC